Molecule: long non-coding RNA, 1733 nt
Organism: Mirounga angustirostris (Northern elephant seal)
Lineage: Eukaryota; Metazoa; Chordata; Mammalia; Carnivora; Phocidae
Exons: 3
Source: RefSeq, a predicted model, not a curated record
GGUAAGAACCUUCUAGGCUGCUUACUGCCCUUGGAAGCACCAGGGUGGGGGGAAAGAAGACUUCAACAGCCUGCCACCGUAAGUUGCGCCUCUGAGAGCUGCUGUCGCUGAGGGAGGCUGAGCAGGAGCCCCUGACCUUCUCCACAGCUCCCAGGGGACACAGCCUGUGGCCCCUCCUGAGCGCCCCUCCCCGCCCGCCUUUGGCCUCAGCCCUCUCUGCAGCACGCGGCGGCGCGCACACCCCGUCCUGGGUGAACUCCCCAGGGUGAAGCCCUAAAGGCAACUGAGAAGGCUUUAAAAAACAAAUCCCCGUGAUCCAUGUGGAGGGGAACAAAAACCCCACAAAAAACAAAAAACAAAACCAAACCCAGCAACGUUUGAGUAGCAUCUCGGGCACUGCUGGUGGUGCGCGGCAGAAACGAACGAAAUCUUCAGGCGGUCAGUCCCGAGCGUCUCUACCACGGAAAACAAUGAGGAAACGUUUCUCUCGCCUUUGUUUGUGGGGAAUUUCGUAAGAAUUCCCAUCUCUCUGCGGCUAUUUUCAGGCUGUCCUCUUGGCCGCAUGCAAAUCCCGAGCCGCGCGCUAGAGGUCGCUGUUCAUCACAAUCCGACUUCGCCUCCGGUGAGGUCCGCCCGCCUCACGUCUUCACCGUGGGGGGAGCGACCAGCGGGCUCUGGCGGCAGGAAAAUCUGCUGGGUCCCGCCCAGGCCAGGUGACCCAACAAGCAAUUUGAAGAAGGUACGAUAAGAACGACUUGAACAAAGGCCAGGGUUUCAAUACAGGCCAUACCUGCGGCUAGCUACUACCACUGGGUGGUGGACCUGGGCUGAGAGCACCUGGGGUAGGGAAGCAGACAGGAGCCUGGCUCUGCUGAGGGGACCGCCCCCCUGCAGCCGAGGUGCUGUUGCUGAGUUGGAGCGGAAGACAGGAACCACCAACAGUGCAGCAGCAGGGGGCGAAUCUGCACACUUCCAUUGUGGCCGUAAAAUAUACAUAACAUGGUAUUUACCAUUGUGAUCCUUUUUACGUGUGCAACGCAGUGGCAUUGAGUAGAUCCACAUUCUCAUGCAACUGUCUCCUCUGUCCAUCUCCAGAACCUCUUCCUCAUCCUAAACAGAAACUCUGCACCCAUUAAGCAGCGGCCCCUUCCCCUCUCCUCCCAGCCCCUGGGAACCUUCAUUUUACUUUCUGUAGCUAUGAAUUUGCCUAUUCUUUUUUUUUUUUAAAGAUUUUAUUUAUUUAUUUGAGAGAGAGAGAAUGAGAGAGAGAGAGCACAUGAGAGGGCUUAGGGUCAGAGGGAGAAGCAGACUCCCUGCCGAGCAGGGAGCCCGAUGCGGGACUCGAUCCCAGGACUCCAGGAUCAUGACCUGAGCCGAAGGCAGUCGCUUAACCAACUGAGCCACCCAGGCGCCCCUGAAUUUGCCUAUUCUACGUACCUCGUGUAAGUGAAAUCAUGCAAUAGGUGUCCUUUUGUGACUGGUUUAUUUUAUGCAGCAUAAUGUCCUCGAGGUUCCUCCAUGUUGUAGUAUGGGUCAGAACUCCAUUCCUUUCUAAGGCUGAAUAAUAUUCCAUUGUAUGGAUAUAUGACAUUUUGCUUAUUCAUUCAUCUGUAGAUGGACUUUUGGGUUGUUUCCACUUUUUGGUUAUUGUGAAUAAAGCUGCUCUGAACAUCGGUGUACAAGUAUCUUUUUAGGUUCUUACUUUCGGUUCUCUUGGGUAUAUAUCUAGGAGU